Molecule: ribosomal RNA, 516 nt
Filed under: Candida tropicalis
Lineage: Eukaryota; Fungi; Ascomycota; Pichiomycetes; Serinales; Debaryomycetaceae
Description: eukaryotic LSU rRNA
Rfam family: 5.8S ribosomal RNA (bases 159-312)
Source: RNAcentral
UGGGUAUGCGGAGACAUUACUGAUUUGCUUAAUUGCACCACAUGUGUUUUUUAUUGAACAAAUUUCUUUGGUGGCGGGAGCAAUCCUACCGCCAGAGGUUAUAACUAAACCAAACUUUUUAUUUACAGUCAAACUUGAUUUAUUAUUACAAUAGUCAAAACUUUCAACAACGGAUCUCUUGGUUCUCGCAUCGAUGAAGAACGCAGCGAAAUGCGAUACGUAAUAUGAAUUGCAGAUAUUCGUGAAUCAUCGAAUCUUUGAACGCACAUUGCGCCCUUUGGUAUUCCAAAGGGCAUGCCUGUUUGAGCGUCAUUUCUCCCUCAAACCCCCGGGUUUGGUGUUGAGCAAUACGCUAGGUUUGUUUGAAAGAAUUUAACGUGGAAACUUAUUUUAAGCGACUUAGGUUUAUCCAAAAACGCUUAUUUUGCUAGUGGCCACCACAAUUUAUUUCAUAACUUUGACCUCAAAUCAGGUAGGACUACCCGCUGAACUUAAGCAUAUCAAUAAGGCGGAGGA